This 1425-nucleotide long non-coding RNA is filed under the name Triticum aestivum (bread wheat). RNAcentral describes it as "long non-coding RNA (TAES_LNC015942)". Lineage: Eukaryota; Viridiplantae; Streptophyta; Magnoliopsida; Poales; Poaceae. The record is from RNAcentral.
AGUACUCUAUUCCUCCUUUCCAAAUCUACAUUUCAUAAGAACAGAAAGGUAAAUUGCUCGUGCGUUGCAACGGGAUAAAAAAGGCGAGUAUUCAAAUUUAGUGAGAAUUGUUAGAUGUCGCUCAUUUCACAAUUUGUUAGAUGCCACUGCACACCACUUCUUCUAUCCAACUCCGAUAAUUGUCACAAUUAGGUUGCCCUCGUCUCUAGUGACAUUGUGAAAAUAAUGUUACUAUGGUCAUGUCUACCGAAGUUCCACUAAAAUGAAAAUACAAAUAGCUAGAUUCAGAAUCUGGGAGAACCGUGUCAAACAUGCACAACAUGUAUUACUUUAUCUUGCUUUUAGCAAUUUAAAGUAACUUCUCUGAAGUGUGUAGAUGAUCCGGAAAACUACAACUCAUAUGACAUGAAGAUAUAAAAAAAGCUUUGCUUCAAGUAUGAAGGAAACCUUUGUCUAACUUGGAGAACCUGUAGUUAUAAAUUAUAGGUCCAAUAUACAUUUAGCAUUACACAGCGUUUAGGCAGCAUUGUGUUUUACAUUCAGCAGGGAUCUUGUUUAAUAACAGCUACAGGCAGUGGCAUAGCCAUGCCGUAGGUAUGGGGGCACAAUCCUUUGCUGAGUGUUCAUCCCUGUACAUAUCUUCCAGAUUGAAUUAUUUUAUUUUACAGAUUGUAUUUCAUGGAUAACCCUGUGUUCAGCUGCCCACAUCCCACAAAUCUAGGGCGUUACAUGAUAAAGGUGAAGAACAUACCUGGAUUCCAUCAGAAAAAUUCAUUGAAGACCGCAUCAGAAUAACAUCUUGGCUAAACUUUAUCUCCAACCACCAGCGUUUAGGGGCAAUCUUUAGAAAAGAAAGUCAACACAGUAUCUGAAAUUGGUUAGAAAUUACAUACAUUAUUUGUAGGGAUCCAUGCAAGUAGAUAGUAAAUCACACUGGGAUGGCAUGACUAUAAUAACAUCCAGUAUUACCCAAACUUCGAUUGUUCAGAUGGGAAUGUAUCCAAAAGUAAAUAACAUCCAUCCAAAAAUAACCGGAGCUAGUAACUUGUCAAACACAGGGGAAAACAAUUGCCUAAUCCAUGUAUAUGCUACAAUGAUCUGCCUACACACAUUUUUCAUAUCAGUAUUUUUUAAAUAAAAUUGCUAGGAAUGGGUGGGCCAGAGAAGCAGGAGGGAGCAAUCUGACCUACGCAAGCAGCUCGCUGCAUUUGGGAGCCUCGUCCUACUCCUGCAGAAGGCGUGUACAGGGUGAGCUCGCUACAGGAAGAGGCGUCGGCUGUUCUGGAGGAGAUCGGGGCUUGCUGCAUUCCCAGCUACUUCCUUGGCAGCGACGACCCGGGAGGAGUGAGGCAAGGGCGGUGGCUAGAGACCAGUAGUUGCUUCUGGCGGCUCGAGACGGCCUAGAGCGGAGGGAGGCGAGGGGGU